This is a long non-coding RNA of Bombus impatiens (common eastern bumble bee), 889 nucleotides long. RefSeq lists it as uncharacterized. The transcript is spliced from 2 exons. The record is from RefSeq and is a predicted model, not a curated record. NCBI's taxonomy places the organism in Eukaryota, Metazoa, Arthropoda, Insecta, Hymenoptera, Apidae.
AGUUGAAGAAAAGAGUAGGUUCAUCUUCCGGUGACACGCUCUGAAAAUUGCCAUAUGUUGUCCAAUCCUAACGAGCCGCUAGGACCAAAGAAAUCCAUCACAUAUAAAAAACAAUCAUCUAGUAGCGAUCAUAAAUCAUGCAGUACAAAGCAGAAACAAAAAUCACUACGAAAUAUUACGGAAAAUAGUCAAGGAAAGGUUCACGAAAGGGUUAUGCAUAGUAAUUCUAUACACACUAUUUGUACGGGUAAGCAUUACACGAAAAGAUGCCUCAGGUCUGCCAGUUGAGGGUCGCCCUUGCAGCUACCGAUCGUCGAAACACUUAACCCUUUGACGAACUAGUUGUUAGAAACAGAAUAUGGUCUCUGACGUCACACAGGAUUUGAAAGAAAAGAUUCAAUUGGUACUUGGAGUUUCCAAAAUCCUUGUUAGGUAAGAGCUAAUUCAAUGCCUGGAUUAAUUUAACGAGGUUCCAUUCCUAUUCCGAAUACUUACCGCUGUAAUUUAUUUUGUGUACAACGACAGGCAACGGCAGGUAGGGUGGUAACUAAUUACAAAAGUAUCGUAAAUAUCGACAUAACUUUUGAUUUCAUAGGAUGUCCAGUAUUUUCCACGAUUAUACUGGUUAACUCGACGUAAUAAACGAAGGAAGAUUUACUUAUUUGAAGGAAGACUUAUGUAAUUUUUGUAUUUAAAGUUCGAUUAAUCCUCACCUUACUUUCUUUUUUUUUAAUGUAGAAGUGUUUUUCUUUUUUUAAAUAUAUUUAAUGCGUGAUUUUCAUUGUAUGAAUUGGUUUUGAACGACAGAAGAUUUAUAAUAGAAAGAAAUAGAAAGAUAACAAGGUAUAAUAGAGGUAAUAGAAGUACUAAGAAAUAAUCAGGAAAUAGG